This 2867-nucleotide long non-coding RNA is filed under the name Triticum aestivum (bread wheat). RNAcentral's name for it is "long non-coding RNA (TAES_LNC010111)". Lineage: Eukaryota; Viridiplantae; Streptophyta; Magnoliopsida; Poales; Poaceae. The record is from RNAcentral.
CUUCCUCUCACGUCUCCCUCUCUCCCGUUCUACAGGAGCCACCGCUGCCAGGGAACCCCGCCAUGGAUGCCCGUCGAGCCGCCCCUAAGCUUCGUCCGCACCGCCGUUUCCUGGAUCCGCCCGUCUUCGCUGUCUCCGGCGCUGCCGGAGCCCCAAGACCCCUCCGCCAAGACCCGUCGUGGCCGCUGUCGUGCCCCGCCACCGCUUCCUGGUUCGAGUGCCCGUGCAAGGAGACGACCAGGAGCAAGCCUAGCGCCCGUGUUGACCGCUCCACCACGUCGGCCCAGCGUCUCCAGCGAGGCCCAGCUGCGUGACCUACCGGCCUCCCUCCUCUACCGAGUGGGCCGAGGCCCAUGGUGAGGCCAGCUGCGCGCCUAAGUCGGCCUGCCCGUGAGGCCGCCGCCAACCUCCCUCACUAACUGGGCUUGGCCCAUGGUGAGCGCCCAGUCCGCCCAGUUUCAGCCUGCUGUGUUUUUUUUUCAGAUCUGGGAAUUUAGCUGUUAUUCCAGAGAAAGCAGUUUUACAGAAAAGCCCUUCAAGUUCAUGCACUUAAUAACUAAUUAAUCGUGCACCGGAUUAAAAUGAUCUCUAUAUGUAAUAUGUCUAGAAUUUUGUCUAGUUUAAUAAUAUGCAACUUUCACUCAUGUUUAAGAUGUUUAAAAUGAUGUUUGUUUAAUUUGUCCCUAUGCCAUGUUAAAAUGAUUUAAUUCAUAACUAUUUAACCGUAGCUCCAAACCUAACAAACUUUAUAUGCAUUUGGGGUAGAAAAUGCCUAGUUUAACAUGGUGUACUUAUUUUGCAUGUUUAUUAACUCUAAAAUUAUGUUUAGGGCAGAACAGUACCAAACCUAAUAUAUGCAUAUGGGGAUUUACCGGAAUUGUAGUUCAUUGCUUCCGACCUCAUUUAACCUUGACUAGAUAGGUAGUUUUACUUUGCUUCACCCUCUUGCCAUGUUUGACAACAUUUAAUAUUGUUGGGUACAUAACCGAGAGGGAACUAAAUAAUUGAUGUGGUGUUCCGUCAAUAUGCAACCCGUUCCAUAUUGUGCUUCACUUAAUUUGUAGGAUUGCUUGUGCACUUUGCCAUGCCAUGCCUCUUUAAACCGGACAUGCAUCAUACUUGAUUGCGCAUCGUGCCAUGAUUAUGUGAUGGUUGUUUUACUAUAUUGUUUGCUUUCUUUCCGGUGUUGCUUCUUCGGGUUGGUUCCGAUAACGUCGCGUUUGUGAGGACCCGUUCGUCUACGUCUGUUUGUCUUCUUCAUGGACUCGUUCUUCUUCCUUGGGGGAUUUCAGGCAAGAUGAUCAUACCAUCGAAAUCACUUCUAUCUUUGCUUGCUUAGUUGCUAGCUCUUUUGCUAUGCCUAUGCUGCGAUACCUACCACUUGCUUAUCAUGCCUCCCAUAUUGUUGAACCAAGCCUCUAACCCACCUUGUCCUAACAAACCGUUGUUUGGCUAUGUUACCGCUUUGCUCAGCCCCUCUUAUAGCGUUGUUAGUUGCAGGUGAAGAUUGAAGUUUGUUCCUUGUUGGAACAUGGAGAUGUUGUUCCUUGUUGGAACAUGUUUACCUGUUGGGAUAUCAUAAUAUAUCUUAUUUAAUUAAUGCAUCUAUAUACUUGGUAAAGGGUGGAAGGCUCGGCCUUAUGCCUGGCGUUUUGUUCCACUCUUGCCGCCUUAGUUUCCGUCAUAUCGGUGUUAUGUUCCCGGAUUUUGCGUUCCUUACGCGGUUGGGUAAUAAUGAGAACCCCUUGACAGUUCACCUUGAAUAAAACUCCUCCAGCAAUGCCCAACCUUGGUUUUACCAUUUGCACUAACAACCUACCACCUUUCCUUGGGUUCUGCAGACUCAAGGGUCAUCUUUAUUCUAACCCCCCCCCCCCCGGCCAGUGCUACUCUGAGUGUUGAUCUGAACUGAGUUGCCUGCGGGGCCACCUCAGGGAAACUUGAGGAUUGGUUUUACUUGUAGCUAGUCUCAUCUGAGUGUGCCCUGAGAAAGAGAUAUGUGCAGCUCCUAUCGGGAUUUGUUGGCACAUUCGGGCGGUGUUGCUGGAUUUGUUUUAACCUGCCGAAAUGUCUUGAAGAAUCGGGAUACCGAUUCUGAUCGGAAUGUCUCGGGAGGAGGCCUAUUCCUUCGUUGACCGUGAGAGCUUGUGAUGGGCUAAGUUGGGACACCCCUGCAGGGAUUUGAACUUUCGAAAGCCAUGCCCGCGGUUAUGGGCAGAUGGGAAUUUGUUAAUAUCCGGUUGUAAAAAACCUGAAGUUAACCUUAAUUAAAAUGCAUCAACCGCGUGUGUUACCGUGAUGGUCUCUUUCCGGCGGAGUCCGGGAAGUGAACACGGUGUUGGAGUUAUGCUUGACGUAGGUUGUUCUAGGAUCACUUCUUGAUCAUAGAUUUCUCGAACGUGCUUUGCCUUCUCUUCUCGCUCUCUUUUGUGAAUAUGUUAGCCACCAUAUAUGCUAGUCGCUUGCUGCAGCUCCACCUCUUACCUUUACCUUACUCAUAUGCUUAAAUAGUCUUAAUCGUGAGGGUGCGAGAUUGCUAAGUCCCCCUGGCUCACAGAUACUUCCAAAAUCAGCUUGCAGGUGCCGUUGAACCGUGCAGAUGACGCAACCAAGCUCAGGAGGAGCUCGAUGAAGAUCUUGUCCCUUGUGUUGUUUUCGUUCUAGUUGAUCAGUAAUGGAGCCCAGUUGGGGUCGAUCGGGGACCUUUGUUGCAUUUGAUAUUCUUCUUUUAUUUUGGUUCCGUAGUCGGACCCUGAUUGUAUUUGGAUGAUGUAAUGCUUUAUUCAUGUAUUUGUGUGAAGUGGCGAUUGUAAGCCAACUAUGUAUCUUUUUUUCCUAUUGUAUUACAUGGGUUGUGUGAAAAUUAC